RNAcentral lists this ribosomal RNA (245 nucleotides) under uncultured Bacteroidota bacterium. RNAcentral's name for it is "uncultured Bacteroidetes bacterium partial 16S ribosomal RNA". It matches the Rfam family "Bacterial small subunit ribosomal RNA", at positions 524 to 768 of the family's 1533-position model. Lineage: Bacteria; Pseudomonadati; Bacteroidota. The record is from RNAcentral.
UACGGAGGAUGCGAGCGUUAUCCGGAUUUAUUGGGUUUAAAGGGUGCGUAGGCUGGCGCUCAAGUCAGGGGUGAAAUCCCGGAGCCUAACUCCGGAACUGCCCUUGAUACUGUGUGUCUUGAAUUCGGAUGCCGUGGGAGGAAUGAGUAGUGUAGCGGUGAAAUGCAUAGAUAUUACUCAGAACACCGAUUGCGAAGGCAUCUCACGAAUCCGAGAUUGACGCUGAGGCACGAAAGCGUGGGGAU